CGAGGGCAAACAACAACCAAACAAGUGAAAGUACUACUACUAUUCCAUUCACACAUGUAUCUUAAUUACAUUUAACCAAAUACAAGUAUACCAUAGUUUACAUCCAUUUUUCCAAAUACAUCACACAUCGCUUACAUCAAAAACAUGUGCCAUUUACAUCACUUAUACAUUUCCAUUUCACCACACCUAUCAUCACAUACCAAGAGAU
RNAcentral lists this long non-coding RNA (208 nucleotides) under Ananas comosus (pineapple). RNAcentral describes it as "long non-coding RNA (ACOM_LNC026799)". The record is from RNAcentral. Lineage: Eukaryota; Viridiplantae; Streptophyta; Magnoliopsida; Poales; Bromeliaceae.